This 72-nucleotide transfer RNA is filed under the name Marmota monax (woodchuck). RNAcentral describes it as "tRNA.Lys". Lineage: Eukaryota; Metazoa; Chordata; Mammalia; Rodentia; Sciuridae. The record is from RNAcentral.
UGGGUUGUUGCUCAGCGGUAGAGUACUCGCCGUUUAUGUGUAAGGCCCUGGGUUCAAUCCUCAGUAACACAU